This 253-nucleotide ribosomal RNA is filed under the name uncultured bacterium. RNAcentral's name for it is "partial 16S ribosomal RNA". It matches the Rfam family "Bacterial small subunit ribosomal RNA", at positions 524 to 776 of the family's 1533-position model. The record is from RNAcentral.
UACGUAGGGUGCAAGCGUUAAUCGGAAUUACUGGGCGUAAAGCGUGCGCAGGCGGUUGUGCAAGACCGAUGUGAAAUCCCCGGGCUUAACCUGGGAAUGGCAUUGGUGACUGCACGGCUAGAGUGUGUCAGAGGGGGGUAGAAUUCCACGUGUAGCAGUGAAAUGCGUAGAUAUGCGGAGGAACACCGAUGGCGAAGGCAAUCCCCUGGGCCUGUACUGACGCUCAUGCACGAAAGCGUGGGGAGCAAACAGG